AAAGAAUUAAUUUAAAAACAAAAUAUAGGUAUGUCAAAUCUAAGAUACUUCCUGGGUAUUCUUUU
Molecule: transfer RNA, 65 nt
Filed under: Brachystomella parvula
Lineage: Eukaryota; Metazoa; Arthropoda; Collembola; Poduromorpha; Brachystomellidae
Description: tRNA-Asp
Source: RNAcentral